Non-coding RNA from Podarcis lilfordi (Lilford's wall lizard), 76 nucleotides. The record is from the annotation of a GenBank genome assembly. Lineage: Eukaryota; Metazoa; Chordata; Lepidosauria; Squamata; Lacertidae.
GGACAGGGCCGUAGCUCAGUGGCAGAGGAGCUGCUUUGCAUGCAGAAGGUCCCAAGUUCAAUCCCCAGCCUCUCCA